Molecule: non-coding RNA, 1448 nt
Organism: Xyrichtys novacula (pearly razorfish)
Lineage: Eukaryota; Metazoa; Chordata; Actinopteri; Labriformes; Labridae
Source: the annotation of a GenBank genome assembly
CAGUAUGCCGUCAGCCUGUCCGUGCAUUUCGCUAGGUGAAGAGGUAAUGAAGGGAGCUACCUACAGAUGCCUACCAGUUUUGGAGGUAUUUCAUAGUUAUUAUUUCAGUUUACAAUUAGUCCAAAGCUUGUGUUUUGGUAGUGUACAGCAAAAAGUGAUGCAAGGAGUUUCAUUGGGAAUAUAUCAAGGCUGAUCAUGCUGAAGAAAAGAGGAUAAAUCGACAGAAAUGGAAGCUGGAUCGAAAGAGGUCUCAAGAAACUCCUGUUCAUAGUCAAAAACUUGCCUGUUUGAAUACUUGAACACUUUUCUAACCCUUUUAUGCAAACACUUCCCAAUAGAGUGAAAAGAUGUGACAGCAAAGAGUUUCACUGGAGUUUUUAAGGUCUGUGUUCACACCAACGUGAAUAAAAUCAUCGCACAGGUUUUCGAAAUGCAAAAGUCUUUAAAGUUCUGGAGCGAAGUCUUUAAGUUUCCAUUAGGACCAUCAUUGAUUGCAAUCCAUCCUCUAAAUACGCACGGUAAAAAAUAAUUUUAUGGCAUAUUAAGUCUUUAGUUUCACUUUAAUUGGUCUCUAUGAAAAAGAAUGACACCCAUUUUCUCUUUACGACUAAAAUUAAAAUUCAUUACCGAUAGAAAACAAAACCUUUCAAGACAUAAUUUAUUUCCACUUCCUGAGCUUCUCCCAUCGCUCCUGUUUUCAUCCAAUGAAAAUGGAGUGUCCAAGUGCACGACAUAUUGCCAAAAGUCACCAUAGAUUUGGGUGAUGUAUCUCCUGUCACUUUGUGCAUUAACGCUGUGACCUUUUCUUCCUAUUUCAGAAGCAAUGUGGCCCGAGCUGGUAAGAAAGAUGGAUACAGAGAGGAUGAAAUCUGUCACGAGGAAAGAAAUUGAGAAGGCGAUCUCUGCACUGUGUUGGUAGCACAUAAAAAAGCGCCACAAAUAACCCUGAAAUGCUAUCUGUAAUGUACUGAAGUUGCAGGGGGAAAAUGGACUUGGAGUGAUCUGGAGGAAGACGGAGGAGGAGGAAACAUUUGCGGACAGAAUGACAGUGAGAGAAAGAUUGGUUUAUCGGUGGAGGAUGGAUCGACCUCUUUCUUCCUUUGCGGUCUUUUGUCUGAGCUCUUACACAAUAGAUCAGGCCGAAAUGUGGAUUGAUCGCACUGUCGUUGCUGGUGUUAUCACCUUUUGAAUGGAUGUAAUAUUUGAUUCAGUUUGUUAUUCAUGGUCUCCGCUCUCUGCCAUUUGGCUCCACUGUCACUGUCGAUUCCUCUUGGACUGUCCUCACUGUCAUUAGCUGAAUUCAAUAUCAAAGAACGGGUUUUAAAGAAAGAUUAGAUCAAUUAUUCAGCUUUGCAGCAGCGCUCUGAUGUUUCCCUUUUUCUAUUAUUAUUAUUCUGUUUUUUUUUUUUCCCCCCUCUGUGUAACCUGGUACACUUGCUUGAUUAUAA